CCAGAGGGUUGGGCAACCGCGUCGGGGCAUUCGCACCCGCCGAGGAAAGUCCGGGCUCCACGAAACAAGGGUGGCGGGUAACGCCCGCCGGCCCCGCAAGGGGCAAGGGAAAGUGCCACAGAGAGCAAACCGCCAAAGAGGCUUCAUGCCUCACGGUAAGGGUGAAAGGGUGCGGUAAGAGCGCACCGCGCGACCGGCAACGGAAGCGGCAUGGUAAACCCCACCCGGAGCAAAACCGAAUAGGGGCGCCGCGCCGAUUUAUCGGCAGGUCUGUUUCGGACCGAGGACGCCCGGGUUGGUUGCUGGAGCGCACGCAGCAAUGCGUCGCCAAGAUGAAUGGUUGCCCUUUGCGGCUGCGUCCUUCGGGAUACGGGCCGCAUUGACAGAACCCGGCUUACAGACCCUCUGGCGUA
This 413-nucleotide RNase P RNA is filed under the name Altericroceibacterium spongiae. RNAcentral describes it as "Altererythrobacter sp. HN-Y73 RNase P RNA component class A". It matches the Rfam family "Bacterial RNase P class A". Rfam says of the family: Ribonuclease P (RNase P) is a ubiquitous endoribonuclease, found in archaea, bacteria and eukarya as well as chloroplasts and mitochondria. Its best characterised activity is the generation of mature 5'-ends of tRNAs by cleaving the 5'-leader elements of precursor-tRNAs. Lineage: Bacteria; Pseudomonadati; Pseudomonadota; Alphaproteobacteria; Sphingomonadales; Erythrobacteraceae. The record is from RNAcentral.